This 491-nucleotide ribosomal RNA is filed under the name uncultured bacterium. Its description in RNAcentral is "bacterial SSU rRNA". It matches the Rfam family "Bacterial small subunit ribosomal RNA", at positions 21 to 507 of the family's 1533-position model. The record is from RNAcentral.
GGCUCAGGGAUGAACGCUAGCGGCAGGCUUAAUACAUGCAAGUCGUGGGGCAGCAUGAGUAGCAAUACUUGAUGGCGACCGGCAAACGGGUGAGGAACACGUACACAACCUUCCUUCAAGCGGGGAAUAGCCCAGAGAAAUUUGGAUUAAUACCCCAUAAUAUAUUUGAUAAGGCAUCUUAUUAAUAUUAAAGCUUCGGCACUUGAUGAUGGGUGUGCGGCUGAUUAGAUAGUUGGCGGGGUAACGGCCCACCAAGUCUACGAUCAGUAGCUGAUGUGAGAGCAUGAUCAGCCACACGGGCACUGAGACACGGGCCCGACUCCUACGGGAGGCAGCAGUAAGGAAUAUUGGACAAUGGACGAAAGUCUGAUCCAGCCAUGCCGCGUGAAGGAUUAAGGUCCUCUGGAUUGUAAACUUCUUUAUAUGGGACGAAAAAGGGCAUUCUUGUUCACUUGACGGUACCAUAUGAAUAAGCACCGGCUAACUCCGUG